AACGAACGCUGGCGGCAUGCCUAACACAUGCAAGUCGAACGAGACCUUCGGGUCUAGUGGCGCACGGGUGCGUAACGCGUGGGAACCUGCCCUUAGGUUCGGAAUAACUCCCCGAAAGGGGUGCUAAUACCGGAUAAUGUCUUCGGACCAAAGAUUUAUCGCCUUUGGAUGGGCCCGCGUUGGAUUAGCUAGUUGGUAAGGUAAAAGCCUACCAAGGCGACGAUCCGUAGCUGGUCUGAGAGGGUGAUCAGCCACACUGGAACUGAGACACGGCCCAGACUACUACGGAAGGCAGAAGUAGGGAAUAUUCCGCAAUGGGGGAAGGCCUGACGGAGGAACGCCGCGUGAGUGAUGAAGGUCUUCGGAUCGUAAAACUCUGUUAUUAGGGAAGAAAAAAUGUGUAAGUAACUAUGCACGUCUUGACGGUACCUAAUCAGAAAGCCACGGCUAACUACGUG
This 458-nucleotide ribosomal RNA is filed under the name uncultured bacterium. RNAcentral's name for it is "partial 16S ribosomal RNA". It matches the Rfam family "Bacterial small subunit ribosomal RNA", at positions 29 to 507 of the family's 1533-position model. The record is from RNAcentral.